RNAcentral lists this ribosomal RNA (375 nucleotides) under uncultured organism. RNAcentral's name for it is "partial 16S ribosomal RNA". It matches the Rfam family "Bacterial small subunit ribosomal RNA", at positions 527 to 896 of the family's 1533-position model. The record is from RNAcentral.
GUAGGUGGCAAGCGUUGUCCGGAAUUAUUGGGCGUAAAGCGCGCGCAGGCGGUCCUUUAAGUCUGAUGUGAAAGCCCACGGCUCAACCGUGGAGGGUCAUUGGAAACUGGGGGACUUGAGUACAGAAGAGGAAAGCGGAAUUCCAGGUGUAGCGGUGAAAUGCGUAGAGAUUUGGAGGAACACCAGUGGCGAAGGCGGCUUUCUGGUCUGUAACUGACGCUGAGGCGCGAAAGCGUGGGGAGCAAACAGGAUUAGAUACCCUGGUAGUCCACGCCGUAAACGAUGAGUGCUAAGUGUUAAGGGGGUUUCCCGCCCCCCUUAGUGCUGCAGCUAACGCAUUAAGCACUCCGCCUGGGGAGUACGGCCGCAAGGCUG